GAGUUUGAUCAUGGCUCAGAUUGAACGCUGGCGGCAUGCCUUACACAUGCAAGUCGAACGGCAGCACGGGGGCAACCCUGGUGGCGAGUGGCGAACGGGUGAGUAAUACAUCGGAACGUGUCCUGGAGUGGGGGAUAGCCCGGCGAAAGCCGGAUUAAUACCGCAUACGAUCUCUGGAUGAAAGCGGGGGACCGAAAGGCCUCGCGCUCAAGGGGCGGCCGAUGGCAGAUUAGCUAGUUGGUGGGGUAAAGGCCUACCAAGGCGACGAUCUGUAGCUGGUCUGAGAGGACGACCAGCCACACUGGGACUGAGACACGGCCCAGACUCCUACGGGAGGCAGCAGUGGGGAAUUUUGGACAAUGGGGGCAACCCUGAUCCAGCAAUGCCGCGUGUGUGAAGAAGGCCUUCGGGUUGUAAAGCACUUUUGUCCGGAAAGAAAACCGCUUCUCUAAUACAGAGGUGGGAUGACGGUACCGGAAGAAUAAGCACCGGCUAACUACGUGCCAGCAGCCGCGGUAAUACGUAGGGUGCGAGCGUUAAUCGGAAUUACUGGGCGUAAAGCGUGCGCAGGCGGUUCGCUAAGACCGAUGUGAAAUCCCCGGGCUUAACCUGGGAACUGCAUUGGUGACUGGCGGGCUAGAGUAUGGCAGAGGGGGGUAGAAUUCCACGUGUAGCAGUGAAAUG
This 684-nucleotide ribosomal RNA is filed under the name uncultured bacterium. RNAcentral describes it as "bacterial SSU rRNA". It matches the Rfam family "Bacterial small subunit ribosomal RNA", at positions 9 to 688 of the family's 1533-position model. The record is from RNAcentral.